AGAGACCACCAAGGAGCCAGUUUCUGGUGCAAACACACAAGGUGUAAGGAGUCUGUCCUUGAUUACGUCAUCAGCCUGCGAUGGCAUCCCAGCCUAAAAAGCAAGUUCGAACCCGGGCUCCCAUCUAUGCCCCGAUGCAGUGGAUGGAGGGAAAUGUGGCAGCGGCCAGGGGCUCAGGGGUGCUCCAACCCGUGCAACCUGAACCUGAGGAACCUCUGACUACCGCUCUGGACCCUGCCAAUCAAACUCCACUUCUCUGACCUCCCGCUC
This is a non-coding RNA of Peromyscus maniculatus bairdii (prairie deer mouse), 270 nucleotides long. The record is from RefSeq and is a predicted model, not a curated record. NCBI's taxonomy places the organism in Eukaryota, Metazoa, Chordata, Mammalia, Rodentia, Cricetidae.